AUGGCAAGAGCUCUCUACUUCGAGCAACUUCAGAAAACUCAUCAAACACCAAAUGAGUGUGUAUGGUGCAGGCCAACACCAGUGGUCCUCGGAGCAAGCUUCACUGUCCUACAGCAACUCAGAGCCAAGCAAUACGAGUUGUACCCCAACAGUUACCUGAGGAGAAACGCCUUCUGCCUUUCUUCCAACCCAGCCUCCAGCACUGAUGCUCACCCAGGGGCUCCAGCAAGGCUCUUUAUCCGCUCUGGAUUUUGCAACAGGAAAUCGGGCAGAGAGCAGCAGCGGGGCACCCUGUUAGCAGCGCGUGAGCUCUGUUAUCCUAACCCAAAACACCGAAAAAACAAGCAAACAAACCAGAAGCGAGCAGCAGGGGACACCUCACGCUUCUCCGCGCUUAACUUUUACCUAAGUCACGGCAGAGCAGGCGUCGGACGAGCCGAAAUGCCCAAUCACAGGCCCCAUUCAAAACUCCUACAGCUCAGUCAGAGGUUACGGAACCGGCUCGUGGAUUCAUUCACGGAGAGAGCACAACUACUAGGGGUUUGUUAUUACUGCUCGCUAUCCACAUGGAAGUUUCUUACGCUUGCAAUGGGCUCACCUUUGUUGUGGCUGAAGUCAAAUGGUACCUAACAUGAAUAUAGUUGAGCAUACCCAAAGCCCUUGAGGGUCUGCACACUUGAAGAAAGCAACAACCAAAUGCUCAUCACAAGGUGAACCAUGGCAGAACCACCAUGCAAAUAACUGUGCAUUUCUUCCCCAAAUGAAUGGGGCAGAGUUAACAGAAAUACAGAAAGUUUUCACCGAAACUGUGAUGCAAUCUAGCAGUUAUAAACAACAGUGCUUGCUCAAUAACUUAUGUUUUGUAUAUUUGUGAAGUUGGCCCUACAUUUAGAGGUAUAAGAACCUAUUCACGAUGUGGAAGAAUAUCUCUAAAAGUUGCCAGGUGGUGCAUUUAGUAGGCAUUUUGAAGCAAAAUCUUUCCUCUAACUGUGUACUUCUGCAUGCUGUGUGAUGUCCCAGUCCUGCAUGCUACAACAAACAGUGUGAGAUUCUGUGCCCUCUCCUCAGCUGAUUCUGGCUGCAGGAUGAAGGUACACCCUGGUGUGCAGCAAUUAAAGGCAAACACAAAAGCUUAAAUGCCCCUUGUCAAAUUCCACUGGAUCCCUGAAGCCUUAACCCCUCCACCUCCCCAACCC
This 1196-nucleotide long non-coding RNA is filed under the name Phasianus colchicus (ring-necked pheasant). Its description in RNAcentral is "lncRNA (ENSPCLG00000008432.1)". Lineage: Eukaryota; Metazoa; Chordata; Aves; Galliformes; Phasianidae. The record is from RNAcentral.